RNAcentral lists this ribosomal RNA (483 nucleotides) under uncultured bacterium. RNAcentral describes it as "partial 16S ribosomal RNA". It matches the Rfam family "Bacterial small subunit ribosomal RNA", at positions 30 to 506 of the family's 1533-position model. The record is from RNAcentral.
AUUGAACGCUGGCGGAAUGCUUUACACAUGCAAGUCGAACGGCAGCACGGGGGCAACCCUGGUGGCGAGUGGUGAACGGGUGAGUAAUACAUCGGAACGUGCCCGGUCGUGGGGGAUAACGUAGCGAAAGUUACGCUAAUACCGCAUACGAUCUGAGGAUGAAAGCGGGGGACCUUCGGGCCUCGCGCGAUCGGAGCGGCCGAUGUCAGAUUAGGUAGUUGGUGGGGUAAAGGCCUACCAAGCCGACGAUCUGUAGCUGGUCUGAGAGGACGACCAGCCACACUGGGACUGAGACACGGCCCAGACUCCUACGGGAGGCAGCAGUGGGGAAUUUGGGACAAUGGGCGCAAGCCUGAUCCAGCCAUUCCGCGUGCAGGACGAAGGCCUUCGGGUUGUAAACUGCUUUUGUAUGGAACGAAAAGGCUCUGGCUAAUACCUGGGGCUCAUGACGGUACCGUAAGAAUAAGCACCGGCUAACUACGU